GAAGGACAAUUCGACAUUUCCAAACUUCUCACGCGGAACCCCCAAAACCCUCGCCGCUCGCUCCGCCUUCCCCGUCCCGUUUCGAGAUCUAAACUGUAGUCCACUCGCUUUGACCGCCAUGAUCGUCGCCGCCGCCCGUAGGUCGCUCAUGCGCUCGUCUUCCCUGCGGAGCGCCGCCGCAGCUAGAAUCGGAGCCUCGCGCGCUUCUCUACGCUCGCCUCCGAUGUUGAGGCCUGCCGCCACUCCCUCCCGUAUCUUAAGGUCUCCAGUUGAGACGAUCUUCUGUGUGGAGUCCCUGCUGCCGAUGCACAGUGCCACGGCGUCGGCACUGAUGACAUCAAUGCUCGCCGUUUCGCGCAGGGGUUAUGGGUGGCUUUCUGAAGCUGGAAAUGAUGACGUGUGACAAAUACUAGGUGCAAUCUAGCAAAUAAGUUAUCUGAUCUUCUCAAAAAUACAGAUGGAUGAGUGGUAGAUUUUCGAGGACACUGCACUGAUCAUGGAGCCACAGAUUUCUUGAUAAUGAAAAAUUUUCUGGAAGCAAUUUACUGUAGGUAUAGCUGCUGGAGACCAGUGGAUGGUACAAAUAAAACCAUGCUUGUUGAGACUAUUGGUUUCUGUUGCCCAUUUCUUUCUUAUUUCUCGAAGCAGAAAUGUAGAUUGUUUUCUUAAACAGUUGAGACAUCACCGGCAUGGAUUAGCUGGCUGUCUGGGUUAAGCUUAUGAUGGGCUACUACUGUACUGUCUCGAGCAAAGUGAGAAAUGCACACCUUUUUCAUGGUUGUCGCAAAAGUAGUAAGAGGCCCAACUGCUCUUUGCUUGUUGCUUUUGUUACAUGCUGUUGCUGAAGCCAUUUUU
Non-coding RNA from Musa acuminata subsp. malaccensis (wild Malaysian banana), 855 nucleotides. Lineage: Eukaryota; Viridiplantae; Streptophyta; Magnoliopsida; Zingiberales; Musaceae. The record is from RefSeq and is a predicted model, not a curated record.